CCUACGGGAGGCUGCAGUGGGGAAUAUUGCACAAUGGGGGAAACCCUGAUGCAGCGACGCCGCGUGAAGGAAGAAGUAUCUCGGUAUGUAAACUUCUAUCAGCAGGGAAGAAAGUGACGGUACCUGACUAAGAAGCCCCGGCUAAUUACGUGCCAGCAGCCGCGGUAAUACGUAAGGGGCAAGCGUUAUCCGGAUUUACUGGGUGUAAAGGGAGCGUAGACGGAGAGGCAAGUCUGAUGUGAAAGGCAUGGGCUCAACCUGUGGACUGCAUUGGAAACUGUUUUUCUAGAGUGCCGGAGAGGCAGGCGGGAUUCCUAGUGUAGCGGUGAAAUGCGUAGAUAUUAGGAGGAACACCAGUGGCGAAGGCGGCCUGCUGGACGGUAACUGACGUUGAGGCUCGAAAGCGUGGGGAGCAAACAGGAUUAGAUACCCCGGUAGUC
RNAcentral lists this ribosomal RNA (440 nucleotides) under uncultured bacterium. Its description in RNAcentral is "bacterial SSU rRNA". It matches the Rfam family "Bacterial small subunit ribosomal RNA", at positions 338 to 795 of the family's 1533-position model. The record is from RNAcentral.